Molecule: ribosomal RNA, 433 nt
Filed under: uncultured bacterium
Lineage: Bacteria
Description: partial 16S ribosomal RNA
Rfam family: Bacterial small subunit ribosomal RNA
Source: RNAcentral
AACGAACGCUGGCGGCAUGCCUAACACAUGCAAGUCGAACGAGACCUUCGGGUCUAGUGGCGCACGGGUGCGUAACGCGUGGGAACCUGCCCUUAGGUUCGGAAUAACUCCCCGAAAGGGGUGCUAAUACCGGAUAAUGUCUUCGGACCAAAGAUUUAUCGCCUUUGGAUGGGCCCGCGUUGGAUUAGCUAGUUGGUAGGGUAAAAGCCUACCAAGGCGACGAUCCAUAGCUGGUCUGAGAGGAUGAUCAGCCACACUGGGACUGAGACACGGCCCAGACUCCUACGGGAGGGAGCAGUGGGGAAUAUUGGACGAGGGGCGAAAGCCUGAUACAGCAAUGCCGCGUGAGUGAUGAAGGCCUUAGGGUUGUAAAGCUCUUUUACCCGGGAUGAUAAUGACAGUACCGGGAGAAUAAGCACCGGCUAACUCCGUG